UCUCGUUCUGGUCAGCGCAGUCUACGAU
RNAcentral lists this small RNA (28 nucleotides) under Bombyx mori (domestic silkworm). RNAcentral describes it as "ovarian small RNA-7752". Lineage: Eukaryota; Metazoa; Arthropoda; Insecta; Lepidoptera; Bombycidae. The record is from RNAcentral.